CCCUUAGAGUUUGAUCAUGGCUCAGGAUGAACGCUAGCGGCAGGCCUAACACAUGCAAGUCGAACGGUAACAGGGAAAAGCUUGCUUUUCCGCUGACGAGUGGCGCACGGGUGCGUAACGCGUAUACAAUCUACCUUUUGCUGUGGGAUAGCCCAGGGAAACUUGGAUUAAUACCGCAUAGUAUAUAAGAUCGGCAUCGUUUUUAUAUUAAAGGUUACGGCAAAAGAUGAGUAUGCGUCCUAUUAGCUAGAUGGUGUGGUAACGGCACACCAUGGCGACGAUAGGUAGGGGCCCUGAGAGGGGGAUCCCCCACACUGGUACUGAGACACGGACCAGACUCCUACGGGAGGCAGCAGUGAGGAAUAUUGGGCAAUGGAGGCAACUCUGACCCAGCCAUGCCGCGUGCAGGAAGACUGCCCUAUGGGUUGUAAACUGCUUUUAUACGGGAAGAAACACCGCUACGUGUAGCGGCUUGACGGUACCGUAAGAAUAAGGAUCGGCUAACUCCGUGCCAGCAGCCGCGGUAAUACGGAGGAUCCAAGCGUUAUCCGGAAUCAUUGGGUUUAAAGGGUCCGUAGGUGGAUAAUUAAGUCAGAGGUGAAAUCCUGCAGCUCAACUGUAGAAUUGCCUUUGAUACUGGUUGUCUUGAGUCAUUGUGAAGUAGUUAGAAUAUGUAGUGUAGCGGUGAAAUGCAUAGAUAUUACAUAGAAUACCGAUUGCGAAGGCAGAUUACUAACAAUGUACUGACACUGAUGGACGAAAGCGUGGGGAGCGA
Molecule: ribosomal RNA, 775 nt
Filed under: uncultured bacterium
Lineage: Bacteria
Description: bacterial SSU rRNA
Rfam family: Bacterial small subunit ribosomal RNA
Source: RNAcentral